RNAcentral lists this ribosomal RNA (443 nucleotides) under uncultured bacterium. Its description in RNAcentral is "partial 16S ribosomal RNA". It matches the Rfam family "Bacterial small subunit ribosomal RNA", at positions 338 to 795 of the family's 1533-position model. The record is from RNAcentral.
CCUACGGGUGGCAGCAGUGGGGAAUAUUGGGCAAUGGGCGCAAGCCUGACCCAGCAACGCCGCGUGAAGGAAGAAGGCUUUCGGGUUGUAAACUUCUUUUCUCAGGGACGAAGAAAGUGACGGUACCUGAGGAAUAAGCCACGGCUAACUACGGGCCAGCAGCCGCGGUAAUACGUAGGGGGCAAGCGUUAUCCGGAUUUACUGGGUGUAAAGGGCGUGUAGGCGGGGAGGCAAGUCAGAUGUGAAAACCACGGGCUCAACCUGGGGACUGCAUUUGAAACUGGGUUUCUUGAGUACUGGAGAGGCAGGCGGAAUUCCUGGUGUAGCGGUGAAAUGCGUAGAUAUCAGGAGGAACACCAGUGGCGAAGGCGGUCUGCUGGACAGUAACUGACGCUGAGGCGCGAAAGCGUGGGGAGCAAACAGGAUUAGAUACCCUUGUAGUC